Molecule: ribosomal RNA, 478 nt
Filed under: uncultured bacterium
Lineage: Bacteria
Description: partial 16S ribosomal RNA
Rfam family: Bacterial small subunit ribosomal RNA
Source: RNAcentral
GACGAACGCUGGCGGCGUGCUUAACACAUGCAAGUCGAACGGUAAGGCCCUUCGGGGUACACGAGUGGCGAACGGGUGAGUAACACGUGGGUGAUCUGCCCUGCACUUCGGGAUAAGCCUGGGAAACUGGGUCUAAUACCGGAUAGGACUCCUGGCUUCAUGGUUGGGGGUGGAAAGCUUUUGCGGUGUGGGAUGGGCCCGCGGCCUAUCAGCUUGUUGGUGGGGUAAUGGCCUACCAAGGCGACGACGGGUAGCCGGCCUGAGAGGGUAACCGGUCACAGUGGGACUGAGAUACGGCCCAGACUCCUACGGGAGGCAGCAGUGGGGAAUAUUGCACAAUGGGCGCAAGCCUGAUGCAGCGACGCCGCGUGAGGGAUGACGGCCUUCGGGUUGUAAACCUCUUUCAGCUAUGACGAAGCGCAAGUGACGGUAGUAGCAGAAGAAGGACCGGCCAACUACGUGCCAGCCGCCGCAGUAA